This 253-nucleotide ribosomal RNA is filed under the name uncultured bacterium. RNAcentral describes it as "partial 16S ribosomal RNA". It matches the Rfam family "Bacterial small subunit ribosomal RNA", at positions 524 to 776 of the family's 1533-position model. The record is from RNAcentral.
UACGUAGGUGGCAAGCGUUGUCCGGAAUUAUUGGGCGUAAAGAGCGUGUAGGCGGUUUUACAGGUCCGCUGUGAAAACUCGAGGCUCAACCUCGAGCUGUCGGUGGAAACCGUAAGGCUAGAGUCCGGAAGAGGAGAGUGGAAUUCCUGGUGUAGCGGUGAAAUGCGCAGAUAUCAGGAAGAACACCCGUGGCGAAGGCGGCUCUCUGGGACGGCACUGACGCUGAGACGCGAAAGCGUGGGGAGCGAACAGG